This 68-nucleotide transfer RNA is filed under the name Lepilemur microdon. RNAcentral's name for it is "tRNA-Asp". Lineage: Eukaryota; Metazoa; Chordata; Mammalia; Primates; Lepilemuridae. The record is from RNAcentral.
AGAUAUUAGUAAAAUAAUUACGUAACUUCGUCAGGGUUAAUUCACAGGUUUAACUCCUGUAUAUCUUA